AAUAGUAUAGGGAUGCGGAGCGGCUACGAUUAGUGAUCCUCGAAGUUUGCGCCCUUUGACUGGAUCAAGCGAUUCGGCUGAUGAGGGAUCGGAUCAACCGAGUUCGAAACUUCUACUGUAGAAUUGGUUCGGUUGGAUGAGCCGAAUGUAAGGACUGAGCAAAAACUAAGGACGGCCGAAGAGCCGAAUGGAUAGAAAAGUACAGUGAUUGGUCGGCUGAG
RNAcentral lists this long non-coding RNA (221 nucleotides) under Ananas comosus (pineapple). RNAcentral describes it as "long non-coding RNA (ACOM_LNC017903)". Lineage: Eukaryota; Viridiplantae; Streptophyta; Magnoliopsida; Poales; Bromeliaceae. The record is from RNAcentral.